This 417-nucleotide ribosomal RNA is filed under the name uncultured Alphaproteobacteria bacterium. Its description in RNAcentral is "bacterial SSU rRNA". It matches the Rfam family "Bacterial small subunit ribosomal RNA", at positions 494 to 911 of the family's 1533-position model. Lineage: Bacteria; Pseudomonadati; Pseudomonadota; Alphaproteobacteria. The record is from RNAcentral.
CGGCUAACUCCGUGCCAGCAGCCGCGGUAAUACGGAGGGGGUUAGCGUUGUUCGGAAUUACUGGGCGUAAAGCGUACGUAGGCGGAUUAGUCAGUCAGAGGUGAAAUCCCAGGGCUCAACCCUGGAACUGCCUUUGAUACUGCUAGUCUUGAGUUCGAGAGAGGUGAGUGGAAUUCCGAGUGUAGAGGUGAAAUUCGUAGAUAUUUGGAGGAACACCAGUGGCGAAGGCGGCUCACUGGCUCGAUACUGACGCUGAGGUACGAAAGUGUGGGGAGCAAACAGGAUUAGAUACCCUGGUAGUCCACACCGUAAACGAUGAAUGCCAGUCGUCGGGCAGUAUACUGUUCGGUGACACACCUAACGGAUUAAGCAUUCCGCCUGGGGAGUACGGUCGCAAGAUUAAAACUCAAAGGAAUU